ACUCCCUCUAGGUCAACUCGGUCUCAAACGAGCACCUGGUGCGUUCGGCGGUGGUGGGCUUGGCUGUUCAUCACUUCCCGCACGCCACUCCACCGCGCGUGCCACCGUGCCGGCCUGCGUCGGGUGGUGCUCGCUCACGGCACUUGACCCACCGGAAUGUUGAGGCUAUACCGAUGGGGGGGGGGGGGGCUUUGCCUUUGCUUUGCAGCAUUAAAAUUGAACGUGAAAAUG
Non-coding RNA from Petromyzon marinus (sea lamprey), 231 nucleotides. The record is from RefSeq and is a predicted model, not a curated record. NCBI's taxonomy places the organism in Eukaryota, Metazoa, Chordata, Hyperoartia, Petromyzontiformes, Petromyzontidae.